GAUUUAGGGGCGUUGCCUGCGAGCUGGUGAGGACGGUGAGGAGCGCCGCCACGAAGUACCACUGCAUCGUCUCCCCCUGCCCCUGUUCGCCUUCCGCCGCGCCGCUUCUCUUUCCUUCUCUCUUCUCGUGGUUUUGGUGCUGGAGAACGGAGCAGGAGGCAGGAGCGCACCGCUGGAGGUGGCGUUGGCCUGGUGGGCGAGCACUUCGAGCUUUUCACAACUUUACUUUGCAUUUUCACCCCCGGGUAUGUUUUCUUCGUAUAGUUUUUAUGGAAAAAACCCUGGUGACAUAUUAUUGAG
RNAcentral lists this long non-coding RNA (300 nucleotides) under Hordeum vulgare. RNAcentral describes it as "long non-coding RNA (HVUL_LNC019909)". Lineage: Eukaryota; Viridiplantae; Streptophyta; Magnoliopsida; Poales; Poaceae. The record is from RNAcentral.